This 78-nucleotide transfer RNA is filed under the name Candidatus Bathyarchaeota archaeon. RNAcentral's name for it is "tRNA-Met". It matches the Rfam family "tRNA". Rfam says of the family: Transfer RNA (tRNA) molecules are approximately 80 nucleotides in length. RNAcentral also lists the same sequence under 1 other name. Lineage: Archaea; Thermoproteati; Candidatus Bathyarchaeota. The record is from RNAcentral.
AGCGGGGUGGGGUAGCCAGGUUAACCCGCAGGGCUCAUAACCCUGAGAUCCGUGGUUCAAAUCCACGCCCCGCUACCA